RNAcentral lists this ribosomal RNA (253 nucleotides) under uncultured bacterium. RNAcentral describes it as "partial 16S ribosomal RNA". It matches the Rfam family "Bacterial small subunit ribosomal RNA", at positions 524 to 776 of the family's 1533-position model. The record is from RNAcentral.
UACGAAGGGGGCGAGCGUUGUUCGGAUUUACUGGGCGUAAAGGGCGCCUAGGCGGCCUUGUCAGUCAGGCGUGAAAGCCCCGGGCUCAACCUGGGAACGGCGCUUGGGACGGCGAGGCUGGAGUUCGGGAGAGGAGAGUGGAAUUCCCAGUGUAGAGGUGAAAUUCGUAGAUAUUGGGAAGAACACCGGUGGCGAAGGCGGCUCUCUGGACCGACACUGACGCUGAGGCGCGAAAGCGUGGGGAGCAAACAGG